GGCAUCCUCUGCUAACAUGUGCAAAACGGCUCUGGGAGAUCUGUGUUUGCAGUCUGAUCCUUAGGAGAGCGGCUUCCUUGGGGGAGUAAAUUGGCUCCUGAGCUCUGAAAGGAGCUAAAGAAACCAUAAUUUUGUGGUUUCAUUCUGGAAAGGGGCAGUGCGGAUUCCGGACAAAACUGAGAGAUUCCUAUGCCUACCUUCAUUAGUCUGGGUUCCUCCAC
Pelobates cultripes (western spadefoot toad) is the source of this 221-nucleotide non-coding RNA. The record is from the annotation of a GenBank genome assembly. NCBI's taxonomy places the organism in Eukaryota, Metazoa, Chordata, Amphibia, Anura, Pelobatidae.